RNAcentral lists this ribosomal RNA (451 nucleotides) under uncultured bacterium. RNAcentral describes it as "bacterial SSU rRNA". It matches the Rfam family "Bacterial small subunit ribosomal RNA", at positions 354 to 796 of the family's 1533-position model. The record is from RNAcentral.
GUAGGGAAUCUUCCGCAAUGGGCGCAAGCCUGACGGAGCAACGCCGCGUGAGCGAGGACGGCCUUCGGGUUGUAAAGCUCUGUUCUUCGGGAAGAAGGGCGGGAGGGCGAACAACUCUUCCGCUUGACGGUACCGAAGGAGAAAGCCCCGGCUAACUACGUGCCAGCAGCCGCGGUAAUACGUAGGGGGCGAGCGUUGUCCGGAAUUAUUGGGCGUAAAGCGCGCGUAGGCGGCUGGUUAAGUCCUGUGUGAAAGACCACGGCUCAACCGUGGGGGUGCACGGGAAACUGGCCGGCUUGAGUGCAGGAGAGGGGAGCGGAAUUCCCGGUGUAGCGGUGGAAUGCGUAGAGAUCGGGAGGAACACCAGUGGCGAAGGCGGCUCCCUGGCCUGUAACUGACGCUGAGGCGCGAAAGCGUGGGGAGCGAACAGGAUUAGAAACCCCGGUAGUCC